RNAcentral lists this long non-coding RNA (1301 nucleotides) under Homo sapiens (human). RNAcentral's name for it is "HSALNT0372925". Lineage: Eukaryota; Metazoa; Chordata; Mammalia; Primates; Hominidae. The record is from RNAcentral.
GCAACACCUGACCCAAAUUUUGAAAUUUGAGAUUAGGGAGUGACACUGUUCAGCACAAACAUAAACAAAAUUGUGAACUAGAUCAUGCAGAGGAUAUCAUAUGAGGCAUAGAAGGAUGGAUGGUAGUGGAGAAGGAUCUCCACAGUGAAUAUUCUAGCGUCUCACGAGAGGCUCACAGUUGAAGAACUCCAGAGGUGGCCAGCAUGACACCUGAGCAAGCAGUGGCAUCCGUGGCUCUAUGGCUACGUGGAAAAGAAACAUAGUGCUGCACACCAGGGCUUAGGUUUUCAGCUUCGCAGAAACAGACACAGUUUCCCAUCCUUCUUAGGUGGUUUCCAAAGUCCUUCAGUUUCUGGCUCCUGGUCACCUUGGCAACAUCAUUUCCUAAAGCUGCUUCUUCUCUUGGAGCUCCCGCAACACAGAUGCUUUUACUCUUCCUUGAGCCUAGCAAGUGUGAUCUUCUCUUAGUGACUCUGCACUUGUGGUUCCUCCAGUUUCCUGGAUAUUUGUACACAAGAGGCAAGGAGAGAUUACAAACCUCUUAGCAUAAUACCCGGCACGCAGAAGACGGACUUGACAUAGGGAUUUGUCUGGUCACUUAUGAUGAGAUCUUACCAGGAAACACCAUUUGUUUUCCUUAUGGUCAUUCUAAAACUGGAAACUGAUGGGCCACGCAAUGGAGUAUGCCAUUCCAGCCAGGAAACCUACAACCUGGAGCAAAUGAAAACACAGGACUCCUAUGGAGCACUCCACGCUGGGAGCUAACCUCACCACUGGGAAGCAUUAAGGGGUAGUGUGGCCUGUUGGUCAGAACAUGACCAUCUGGACUCAUUCUCAGCAGUGUGAUUGUACAUUACAUCCUCCACUUCUCCAUUCCAACUGACAAUGCCACCAAUAGCUGAGAAAGUGGAGGCCAUGGGAAGCUGGUACCUACUAGGAUAUCCUAUUGGCUCCUGUCCUCUCUGCCCAGUUACUGACCACGGCACCAAGCUUCAGAUUCUGUUUAAUACUGUCCUUUACACAAUGGUGCCUGGGUCUUUUGAAAUGGAUAGGGAUAAUUAUGAUUCAUAUGCUUCAAGAAAUAAACCACGGUACUCACACAACCUACAUAUUUCAUUUCUAUUUUAAAAACACAAAAUACUUACAUGCUGUUGGUGUUUUGAAAGCUUUUGCCACUUAUGCUUUUUUAAAUAUAAUGGUUCAGAAACAAAAUUCUGCCUGCUAAUCAGUCUUUAUUUCCAUUCAUAAAAAAUUAUGUCUCCAUAAUACCUAAGAGGUCAAUAACUAGAUGUUGAAACAAA